CGCGGCGCAUUAGCUAGUUGGUGAGGUAACGGCUCACCAAGGCGAUGAUCGGUAGCCGGCCUGAGAGGGCGCACGGCCACACUGGCACUGAAACACGGGCCAGACUCCUACGGGAGGCAGCAGUGGGGAAUUUUGCACAAUGCCCGAAAGGGUGAUGCAGCAACGCCGCGUGAGGGAUGAAGGCCUUCGGGUCGUAAACCUCUUUCGAUCGGGAAAAAUGGGCUGGUGAAGAGCCAGUUCUGAUGGUACCGGAUGAAGAAGCCCCGGCUAACUACGUGCCAGCAGCCGCGGCAAUACGUAGGGGGCGAGCGUUGUUCGGAAUUACUGGGCGUAAAGGGCGUGUAGGCGGUGCGGUAAGUUGGGCGUGAAAUCCCCGAGCUUAACUCGGGAGGGCCGUUCAAGACUGCCGUGCUAGGGUGCGGGAGAGGGAAGUGGAAUUUCCGGUGUAGCGGUGAAAUGCGUAGAUAUCGGGAGGAACACCUGCGGCGAAGGCGGCUUCCUGGACCGUAACCGACGCUGAGGCGCGAAAGCUAGGGGAGCAAACAGGAUUAGAUACCCUGGUAGUCCUAGCCCUAAACGAUGAGCACUGGGUGUGGCCCCUCACGGGGCCGUGCCGAAGCUAACGCAUUAAGUGCUCCGCCUGGGGAGUACGGUCGCAAGGCUGAA
RNAcentral lists this ribosomal RNA (666 nucleotides) under uncultured bacterium. RNAcentral describes it as "bacterial SSU rRNA". It matches the Rfam family "Bacterial small subunit ribosomal RNA", at positions 232 to 898 of the family's 1533-position model. The record is from RNAcentral.